AAAACAGUAGAGGGAUUCGUUCAUUGGUCGUAAAAUGAAAUCUCCACCUACACGGGGCACCGGGCCAUGCUAAACGAACUCGCUCAGUGCUUGAUUUAUCUGAGAGGGGUGUAACCUAUCCCAUAAACAUACUCACUAGCUCGACGCAUAUUUGGGUUAUCAGCGCGCGCAUGACUUCAGGUUAUCGUGAGGGUGACUACGGCCGGUUUCUUAAUGCAUGGAGGGGAUAAUUUGACCACGAGAACGGUGGGAACCUCAAAACCCCCUCUAACCAGCUGAAGAAGAGCGACAAAGGCGUUCAAUCCGGCCCUGUCCAAACCACAUCUACCGCGAGACCUGAGUCCGAGCCAGCUACCAUUGUACAGCAUCCUAUCAAAGCUAUCAAUUGCUUUUCUCUCAUGCUUUUUCUCUCAGGAGUGGGACACGUGGAGUACGCGUGGAGUACGCAUGGAGAGAGAUCCGUUCCAAAACUUCUCUCAUGUUGCUGGUAUGCUGGUUGGCAAAUGGUCAAGAUAUAAAUGGGUGGUAAAGGUGGGGGCGGCCCAGGUGAGACAUUGAAAUUGGGAUGUUACAUGGGCCAUCCACUUGAACUAUGAAGAUUUCUGAAGAAGGCUAUGAAGAGACGCCAGAAGAUUGAGUGCCUGAAGGGGGGGUUGGUCCACUGUGCCCAGAAUUGAUUUAGGCUUGUCUUUAAUUUGGGGUAUCAAGUUGAUUGUAGAGGUCUACACACUGCUAAAUGUAUAGUCAUUUAGAUUAAGAAUGCAUUGGGAUACUGAUCUGUGAUUAUAACCAUGAUCAGAAAGUGAAUACUAUAAUUAUGGGUAAUUAUACUGUAUGUUAAUAUAAAUUACAUUCUCCCAGUGUCAAUGUGUGCUAAAUUGAGGGUUUUUAACUUAAAGUACUGGGACAAAUGUGAAUCACUGAAGCAUAUUUCAUUUUAAUUUUGGGUUGGAUAAUUAAUUGGGUUUUGAUUAUGAUUUGGAAACUGAAUGAUUUUUAAAAAAAACUGGCAAAUUGAUUUGAGUAUGUUCUUAGUAUGUUGAUAACUGUAUGAGUGAAGCAAUUAAUGUAUUAUGGAUUGAUUGUUUCAAUUGAUGUUAUGCUAAUUGUGACAUGGGUAAAGAAGUUGUGUACUAAAGUUGUUGACACUAUUCUCAGCAUGCCCUGGUGAAUGGAGAGGGUGAACUCUGAUCCUGAGAGUGAAACUGAUCCUAAUCUAUUUGACCUUGUUAGGUUCUUAUUUUCAGAGUAAAUAACUUGACGCUUAACCAAGUUUAAUUCUUCCCAAAGGGUCGCUACAGCUUCAUUCAGUCAUCACAUGUUUCCACCACCACAAGUGUGUGUACGUGUGUGUGUGUGUGUGUAUAUAUAUAUAUAUAUAUACUCCAAUUUAGACACUCCACCUUCUCUCCAAUCCUUACAUAUUUUAUGGUUCGACAGGAAGACGAAGUGAUAGAGUAAUAAACCGUUCUGUCUCCCUUAAGGUGACCUGACCUGACCUCAACCACCUUGAUGUCUAAUCCAAAGCUCUUCACCUGUAUCACCUAUAGCACUCCUGUGACUUCCUCCCGUCCAGCCAGCACAUUCCAAAGCCAUCUGUCUCCUACAGAUAACCAUUAACUCUGAUGUAACAACCACAACCACUAUCACCCCUCAGAUACUAUAGUAUUACUUCUGAUCUAUCAUGUCUCUAGUAUAGCCAUGUUAAAAGUUUACCCAGAAUCCAACAACCUAUAUCUAUUACUAAAAUAAAUGUUUUAUGAUAUUGAUCCAAAUCUUGAGCAGUGCCCAAAUUGAUCUGAUUUGUAAACAUUGUCUUAAGAGGGGUAACUGCAGAUGGUGUUUUAAAGGGAAGACGUGGUCCCAGAGUCAAUGGUCAUUUCCUACAUAUUAUUUGAUGUGAAGAAGACUGUGCUGAUGGCAGAAAAAGGGAUUAAACUCAGUAACCCAAAGGAGGUUAUUUACCAUGUAUGGCAGUGCCUAACACCAGAAGGGGUUUUUAUCUUUUAUUCUUUUCAUUUUAUUGUUAAUUUUUGUUUUUUUUUAACGCUGGAAGGGUUUAACUGAAGGUUUUAUAAGAAACUUGUUUUUUUAAGGGGGGAAUGUGAGGGCAUUUUGAAGUUAAACCUUACUAAUGCUUGUGUACUAAAACAUGUCUUUAAGCCUAGGCAUUGGGUUUGAGUUAGUUUAUAUGACAAACUCAUAUAGGAUAGGAAAGUGUGUGUGCGCAUUAAAAGAGGCCUGUUCUGAUUGUUUGUGUGUGUAGAAUGACCCCAUGAUGUCCAGGCGCUCAGCCAAAGACAGAAAUGAACUGGUUCCUCUUAGCUUAACUGGAGACAGGGCAAAGUGUUAUAUUCUGCACACCAGUGAUAGAGCUGUUGUUCUGUUUGUUUGGAGCCUGUUUCUGGGGGAAAGAUUCAUGUUUUGUGUGUGUGUGUGUGUGUGUGUGUGUGAGACGAGUAUGGCCAUACAUCAUCUGGGCGGAAAGUAAAAGGCGCUUGCUUGCCCAACUUGGGGGAUCCGUUGAGCAACUGUUAGAGGAAGUAUGUCUGGAGUGACUUCCUGUCAUUCUGGCCCCUGUUGUCCUCACUCAGUUGCGACAGACUGAGGCAACCUUUUCACCCAGUUAUCUCCCCUCACACACACAUACAUACAUAGGGUCACAUGUUUUGCAGAUGCUUGCAUGGGGUAGCUUGACUAUAUAAAAGCUCCUGUAAUCUUUGUACAGGAGGCUCUCACUCCUUCUCACCUGCGUGGCUGGGGCGACCAGCCACCUUAUUAUAAUACAUUUUUAAUAAAAGUAAUACCUUGA
Salvelinus namaycush (lake trout) is the source of this 2812-nucleotide long non-coding RNA. RefSeq lists it as uncharacterized. NCBI's taxonomy places the organism in Eukaryota, Metazoa, Chordata, Actinopteri, Salmoniformes, Salmonidae. The transcript has 2 exons. The record is from RefSeq and is a predicted model, not a curated record.